This 731-nucleotide ribosomal RNA is filed under the name Clostridium sp. DF2C22. RNAcentral describes it as "bacterial SSU rRNA". It matches the Rfam family "Bacterial small subunit ribosomal RNA", at positions 58 to 818 of the family's 1533-position model. The record is from RNAcentral. Lineage: Bacteria; Bacillati; Bacillota; Clostridia; Eubacteriales; Clostridiaceae.
CAAGUCGAGCGAACCCUUCGGGGUGAGCGGCGGACGGGUUGAGUAACGCGUGGGUAACCUGCCCUGUACACACGGAUAACAUACCGAAAGGUAUGCUAAUACGGGAUAACAUAUGAGAGUCGCAUGGCUUUUGUAUCAAAGCUCCGGCGGUACAGGAUGGACCCGCGUCUGAUUAGCUAGUUGGUAAGGUAACGGCUUACCAAGGCAACGAUCAGUAGCCGACCUGAGAGGGUGAUCGGCCACAUUGGAACUGAGACACGGUCCAAACUCCUACGGGAGGCAGCAGUGGGGAAUAUUGCACAAUGGGCGAAAGCCUGAUGCAGCAACGCCGCGUGAGCGAUGAAGGCCUUCGGGUCGUAAAGCUCUGUCCUCAAGGAAGAUAAUGACGGUACUUGAGGAGGAAGCCCCGGCUAACUACGUGCCAGCAGCCGCGGUAAUACGUAGGGGGCUAGCGUUAUCCGGAAUUACUGGGCGUAAAGGGUGCGUAGGCGGUCUUUCAAGCCAGAAGUGAAAGGCUACGGCUCAACCGUAGUAAGCUUUUGGAACUGUAGGACUUGAGUGCAGGAGAGGAGAGUGGAAUUCCUAGUGUAGCGGUGAAAUGCGUAGAUAUUAGGAGGAACACCAGUAGCGAAGGCGGCUCUCUGGACUGUAACUGACGCUGAGGCACGAAAGCGUGGGGAGCAAACAGGAUUAGAUACCCUGGUAGUCCACGCCGUAAACGAUGAGUACUA